AUGCUGUACGCUCUUGCGAUCUCCUCCAUUGUCAAGGUCACAUCAUGUGCACCGUCCUCAGUCCAACCCCAUGGCAUAAGGAUGAUCGAGUUCAUCGCAAGCAGCAGUCCAUGGCUGCCUUCUUCCACUUUCCUCCGCCUAGGUCCUUUCCUAUGGUGGUGCAAGGUUUCUACUCUUCUCCCUCCCGUGCUCUCUCUCACUAUCCGUGUUCAUUUGUACUGCUGCUUCGAUUUCUUUGUGAUGCAAAUGUUGUUGAUGAACAUUUUUUGUAGUAAAAAGCUACAAAAAAAAUCAGUUUUUCUCGUUGCGAAAAUUUCUGAAUUUUGCUCUGUUCUAGCAGUUCGAAGAAUAAUGUUCACUAGGACUAUUUUGGCGUUACUUUAA
Molecule: ribosomal RNA, 384 nt
Filed under: Triticum aestivum (bread wheat)
Lineage: Eukaryota; Viridiplantae; Streptophyta; Magnoliopsida; Poales; Poaceae
Description: partial small subunit ribosomal RNA
Source: RNAcentral